AAUUGGCUUUGUUCAGAAACGUAAGGGCGGUGACUUUCCAUUAAAAAUCGUGAUAAAAGGCGAAGAAAGAAACGUGAUUUUUUAAAGGACUACUUGAAAAACAAAUUGAAAAAUUGGAAACCUAAACUUGGCAGAGGACCUGUAUCUAACCUUGAACUACUAACCGCUUAACGACCUUUAUGGUCUGUUUGAAGCGAGAGAUUCCUACGAACACCUAAGUAACCCUCAGUUAUCUUAGUAGGGCUAGUCUUUCCGUCGCACCGACGGUUAGAAGCCUUAUAGCUUCAUUUUUAAGAUUUAAGCUUGCGUUAAUAUCUCGAUCAUGAUGGGUUCUACAAUAUGUUGUUCGUUCCGUCUCAUCCAAUGGUUGACGAGACGGAAUCGGUUGUGUUUGCUUCGCUGACGAAACAAAAAUAGCUGCAUAAACAUGAGAAGAGCUUUUCUCUCUGUUUAACGUGUCUGUUUUCGUGACAUAACACCAUCAUCUGUUCUAGAAAAAAUUAAACAAUAUGGUCCCCUGUAGAAUUUAGGCAGCA
This 536-nucleotide small RNA is filed under the name Bacillus methanolicus MGA3. RNAcentral describes it as "non-coding RNA with unknown function". Lineage: Bacteria; Bacillati; Bacillota; Bacilli; Caryophanales; Bacillaceae. The record is from RNAcentral.